CAACCUCUGCCUCAAUCUCACUAAAAACACUCCAACGAUUCCAACUACUCACUAUGGAAGGCUUCCAGGAAACUCACGCGUCCCCGGCAAAUAAUCCCUCCAAUUCGCUGUCCGCAAGGCGGAUGGGCACGUAGCCCUAUAGAAAAAGCCAGCCUGUUCGCUAACUACCUAUCCAACGUCUUUAAACCUCAUUCCUCCAAUAUCGCUCCGGAAAUAACAGAAUACCUGCAUUCUCCCUUCCAAACGUCUCCCCCCAUUAAACCUUUCACUUCUCUAGAGGUUACUGAAUUAAUCCAUCGUCUGAACCCCAGGAAAGCACCGGGACAUGAUCAAAUAAGUAAUAAAGCAAUUAAGGAACUACCCGUAAAAGGGAUUCCACUCAUUUCUUCAAUCUGCAACGCAAUUUUUCGCCUUGAAUACUAUCCCAAAACCUGGAAAACGUCACUAAUUACACUCAUCCCAAAACCCGGAAAACCAAUACACGAAACUAGCCCCUAUCGCCCAAUUAGUCUUCUACCCACUUUGUCAAAACUAUUCGGAAAGUUGCCAACGAAUCGACUCCUUCCACUCCUAGAGGAUCCGAAAACACUGCCAGAUCAUCGAUUCGGUUUUCGGAAGCAGCAUUCCACAAUAGAGCAAAUCCACCGAAUAACACAC
This 657-nucleotide unclassified non-coding RNA is filed under the name Bombus terrestris (buff-tailed bumblebee). RNAcentral's name for it is "misc RNA ENSBTSG00005029840.1". Lineage: Eukaryota; Metazoa; Arthropoda; Insecta; Hymenoptera; Apidae. The record is from RNAcentral.